This 340-nucleotide unclassified non-coding RNA is filed under the name soil metagenome. Its description in RNAcentral is "partial contains 5.8S ribosomal RNA, internal transcribed spacer 2, and large subunit ribosomal RNA". The stretch from base 1 to 119 matches the Rfam family "5.8S ribosomal RNA", at positions 35 to 154 of the family's 154-position model. The record is from RNAcentral.
GAUGAAGACGUAGCGAAAUGCGAUAAGUAAUGUGAAUUGCAGAAUUCAGUGAAUCAUCGAAUCUUUGAACGCACAUUGCGCCCUUUGGUAUUCCAAAGGGCAUGCCUGUUCGAGCGUCAUUUGUACCCUCAAGCUUUGCUUGGUGUUGGGCGUCUUGUCUCUAGCUUUGCUGGAGACUCGCCUUAAAGUAAUUGGCAGCCGGCCUACUGGUUUCGGAGCGCAGCACAAGUCGCACUCUCUAUCAGCAAAGGUCUAGCAUCCACUAAGCCUUUUUUUCAACUUUUGACCUCGGAUCAGGUAGGGAUACCCGCUGAACUUAAGCAUAUCAAUAAGCGGAGGA